RNAcentral lists this transfer RNA (84 nucleotides) under Thermogemmatispora tikiterensis. RNAcentral's name for it is "tRNA-Tyr". It matches the Rfam family "tRNA". From Rfam's summary of the family: Transfer RNA (tRNA) molecules are approximately 80 nucleotides in length. Their secondary structure includes four short double-helical elements and three loops (D, anti-codon, and T loops). The record is from RNAcentral. RNAcentral also lists the same sequence under 3 other names. Lineage: Bacteria; Bacillati; Chloroflexota; Ktedonobacteria; Thermogemmatisporales; Thermogemmatisporaceae.
GGGCAGUUUCCGGAGCGGUCAAACGGGGCUGACUGUAAAUCAGCUGGGAAACCUACGGGGGUUCGAAUCCCUCACUGCCCACCA